Molecule: ribosomal RNA, 253 nt
Filed under: uncultured bacterium
Lineage: Bacteria
Description: partial 16S ribosomal RNA
Rfam family: Bacterial small subunit ribosomal RNA
Source: RNAcentral
GACAGAGGGUGCAAACGUUGCUCGGAAUUACUGGGCGUAAAGCGCGUGUAGGCGGACUUGCAAGUCAGAUGUGAAAUCCCUGAGCUCAACUCAGGAACUGCAUUUGAAACUGCCUGUCUCGAGUAGUGGAGAGGAAAGCAGAAUUCCUGGUGUAGAGGUGAAAUUCGUAGAUAUCAGGAGGAACACCGGUGGCGAAGGCGGCUUUCUGGACACUUACUGACGCUGAGACGCGAAAGCGUGGGGAGCAAACAGG